RNAcentral lists this ribosomal RNA (421 nucleotides) under Anolis tropidonotus. Its description in RNAcentral is "partial 16S ribosomal RNA". It matches the Rfam family "Bacterial large subunit ribosomal RNA", at positions 1978 to 2594 of the family's 2925-position model. Lineage: Eukaryota; Metazoa; Chordata; Lepidosauria; Squamata; Anolidae. The record is from RNAcentral.
AAAUUAAGACCCGUAUGAAUGGUUAAAUGAAUAUUUAACUGUCUCCUUUAACUAAUCAGUGAAACUGAUCUUUCAGUACAAAAGCUGAAAUAAUAACAUAAGACGAGAAGACCCCGUGGAGCUUAAAACUUUUAACAAAAUACUAUAAAGCACAUAUUUAUGCCAUAAAGUUUUUAGUUGGGGCGACUUUGGAGCAAAACCCAACCUCCAAGAAAAGGCACCGCCUACACCAAGGCCCACAAGCCAAACUACAAAGACCCAGUAUCAAAUACUGAUCAACGAACCAAGUUACCCCAGGGAUAACAGCGCCAUCUUCUUCAAGAGUUCAUAUCGACAAGAAGGUUUACGACCUCGAUGUUGGAUCAGGACACCCAAAUGGUGCAGCCGCUAUUAAAGGUUCGUUUGUUCAACGAUUAAUAGU